UACGUAGGGUGCGAGCGUUAAUCGGAAUUACUGGGCGUAAAGCGUGCGCAGGCGGUUCGUUAAGUCAGAUGUGAAAGCCCCGGGCUCAACCUGGGAACUGCAUUUGAAACUGGCGGGCUUGAGUAUGGCAGAUGGGGGUGGAAUUCCGCGUGUAGCAGUGAAAUGCGUAGAGAUGCGGAGGAACACCGAUGGCGAAGGCAGCCCCCUGGGCCAAUACUGACGCUCAGGCACGAAAGCGUGGGGAGCAAACAGG
RNAcentral lists this ribosomal RNA (253 nucleotides) under uncultured bacterium. RNAcentral's name for it is "partial 16S ribosomal RNA". It matches the Rfam family "Bacterial small subunit ribosomal RNA", at positions 524 to 776 of the family's 1533-position model. The record is from RNAcentral.